UGGAGUUGAAAGAAAAGAAACAAGACUUUGGAGUUAUAUCCAAAUGUUCCCAGUAUUUCCCAGUCUUCUUCAAAGUCUAAAUUUUAUGUGCAGGUACUCCCUCCUGCUUGGAAGCCUUUAAUUCUCUCCUGCGGAAUACAUU
Long non-coding RNA from Fukomys damarensis (Damara mole-rat), 142 nucleotides. RefSeq lists it as uncharacterized. NCBI's taxonomy places the organism in Eukaryota, Metazoa, Chordata, Mammalia, Rodentia, Bathyergidae. The record is from RefSeq and is a predicted model, not a curated record. The transcript is spliced from 3 exons.